Molecule: long non-coding RNA, 265 nt
Organism: Saccostrea cuccullata (small rock oyster)
Lineage: Eukaryota; Metazoa; Mollusca; Bivalvia; Ostreida; Ostreidae
Exons: 3
Source: RefSeq, a predicted model, not a curated record
UACCAUGCUGAGACAAAACCAAAACUAGAACGUAAAAGACUACCAUCAGCAUAAUGGCACUGGACCCAGGACAGAAAUGUCCCAUGGUACUGUUAUGCGGGAAUUCUCAUCCAGAAUUGUCACAACUAAUUGCACAGAGACUUGGAGUAAGAUUGGGUGACAUCAAUGUUUAUCACAAAACUAACAGAGAAACAAAUGUAGAAAUCAAAGAGUCAGUUAGAGGAAAAGAUGUUUACAUCAUACAAACUGGCACCAAGUAAGUGAA